GGGAGAUGAAUUUAGCGCUAUCUUUUUUAAGUUCUUAAUAUUCAUUGGAGUAUUUAACAUUGAAGACUGUCUUUUAUACUUGUGUCUUUAUUUGCCUUGACUACAUCUGCCUUGAAGUACUAUCUUUAUCAGCUGUAGAUUUACAUUCUAUGUCUUUCAUUCAGAGACAUGGCACUUUAUUUUUUCAUAUACAUGAGUUUUUGAAAAAUACUAG
RNAcentral lists this long non-coding RNA (214 nucleotides) under Mytilus galloprovincialis (Mediterranean mussel). The record is from RNAcentral. Lineage: Eukaryota; Metazoa; Mollusca; Bivalvia; Mytilida; Mytilidae.